GCUACCAUGCAGUCGAGCGGAUGAGGGAGCUUGCUCCUGGAUUCAGCGGCGGACGGGUGAGUAAUGCCUAGGAAUCUGCCUGGUAGUGGGGGAUAACGUCCGGAAACGGGCGCUAAUACCGCAUACGUCCUGAGGGAGAAAGUGGGGGAUCUUCGGACCUCACGCUAUCAGAUGAGCCUAGGUCGGAUUAGCUAGUUGGUGGGGUAAAGGCCUACCAAGGCGACGAUCCGUAACUGGUCUGAGAGGAUGAUCAGUCACACUGGAACUGAGACACGGUCCAGACUCCUACGGGAGGCAGCAGUGGGGAAUAUUGGACAAUGGGCGAAAGCCUGAUCCAGCCAUGCCGCGUGUGUGAAGAAGGUCUUCGGAUUGUAAAGCACUUUAAGUUGGGAGGAAGGGCAGUAAGUUAAUACCUUGCUGUUUUGACGUUACCAACAGAAUAAGCACCGGCUAACUUCGUGCCAGCAGCCGCGGUAAUACGAAGGGUGCAAGCGUUAAUCGGAAUUACUGGGCGUAAAGCGCGCGUAGGUGGUUCAGCAAGUUGGAUGUGAAAUCCCCGGGCUCAACCUGGGAACUGCAUCCAAAACUACUGAGCUAGAGUACGGUAGAGGGUGGUGGAAUUUCCUGUGUAGCGGUGAAAUGCGUAGAUAUAGGAAGGAACACCAGUGGCGAAGGCGACCACCUGGACUGAUACUGACACUGAGGUGCGAAAGCGUGGGGAGCAAACAGGAUUAGAUACCCUGGUAGUCCACGCCGUAAACGAUGUCGACUAGCCGUUGGGAUCCUUGAGAUCUUAGUGGCGCAGCUAACGCGAUAAGUCGACCGCCUGGGGGAGUACGGCCGCAAGGGUAAAAACUCAAAUGAAAUUGACGGGGGGCCCGCCACA
This 886-nucleotide ribosomal RNA is filed under the name Pseudomonas aeruginosa. Its description in RNAcentral is "bacterial SSU rRNA". It matches the Rfam family "Bacterial small subunit ribosomal RNA", at positions 48 to 927 of the family's 1533-position model. Lineage: Bacteria; Pseudomonadati; Pseudomonadota; Gammaproteobacteria; Pseudomonadales; Pseudomonadaceae. The record is from RNAcentral.